AAUAAAAGUUUCAGAGUCAAUCAUAUAGACAAAUGAGAAAAUAUUAUCUUUGGUCUGCAGAAGGCAGCGAUCCUACAUAAAAAUGGAUCCGUCUGACUUGGACAGCUGGCUAAGGCUGAUCAUUCCCCUCGGCACAAU
Myodes glareolus (Bank vole) is the source of this 138-nucleotide non-coding RNA. RefSeq annotates it as small Cajal body-specific RNA 3. Lineage: Eukaryota; Metazoa; Chordata; Mammalia; Rodentia; Cricetidae. The record is from RefSeq and is a predicted model, not a curated record.